RNAcentral lists this ribosomal RNA (1346 nucleotides) under uncultured bacterium. Its description in RNAcentral is "partial 16S ribosomal RNA". It matches the Rfam family "Bacterial small subunit ribosomal RNA", at positions 28 to 1381 of the family's 1533-position model. The record is from RNAcentral.
GACGAACGCUGGCUGCGUGCUUAACACAUGCAAGUCGAACGGAAAGGCCCUGCUUUUGUGGGGUGCUCGAGUGGCGAACGGGUGAGUAACACGUGAGUAACCUGCCCUUGACUUUGGGAUAACUUCAGGAAACUGGGGCUAAUACCGGAUAGGAGCUCCUGCUGCAUGGUGGGGGUUGGAAAGUUUCGGCGGUUGGGGAUGGACUCGCGGCUUAUCAGCUUGUUGGUGGGGUAGUGGCUUACCAAGGCUUUGACGGGUAGCCGGCCUGAGAGGGUGACCGGCCACAUUGGGACUGAGAUACGGCCCAGACUCCUACGGGAGGCAGCAGUGGGGAAUAUUGCACAAUGGGCGGAAGCCUGAUGCAGCAACGCCGCGUGCGGGAUGACGGCCUUCGGGUUGUAAACCGCUUUCGCCUGUGACGAGGCGUGAGUGACGGUAAUGGGUAAAGAAGCACCGGCUAACUACGUGCCAGCAGCCGCGGUGAUACGUAGGGUGCGAGCGUUGUCCGGAUUUAUUGGGCGUAAAGGGCUCGUAGGUGGUUGAUCGCGUCGGAAGUGUAAUCUUGGGGCUUAACCCUGAGCGUGCUUUCGAUACGGGUUGACUUGAGGAAGGUAGGGGAGAAUGGAAUUCCUGGUGGAGCGGUGGAAUGCGCAGAUAUCAGGAGGAACACCAGUGGCGAAGGCGGUUCUCUGGGCCUUUCCUGACGCUGAGGAGCGUAAGCGUGGGGAGCGAACAGGCUUAGAUACCCUGGUAGUCCACGCUGUAAACGGUGGGUACUAGGUGUGGGGUCCAUUCCACGGGUUCCGUGCCGUAGCUAACGCUUUAAGUACCCCGCCUGGGGAGUACGGCCGCAAGGCUAAAACUCAAAGGAAUUGACGGGGCCCCGCACAAGCGGCGGAGCAUGCGGAUUAAUUCGAUGCAACGCGUAGAACCUUACCUGGGUUUGACAUGGAUCGGGAGUGCUCAGAGAUGGGUGUGCCUCUUUUGGGGUCGGUUCACAGGUGGUGCAUGGCUGUCGUCAGCUCGUGUCGUGAGAUGUUGGGUUAAGUCCCGCAACGAGCGCAACCCUUGUUCACUGUUGCCAGCACGUUAUGGUGGGGACUCAGUGGAGACCGCCGGGGUCAACUCGGAGGAAGGUGGGGAUGACGUCAAGUCAUCAUGCCCCUUAUGUCCAGGGCUUCACGCAUGCUACAAUGGCUGGUACAGAGAGUGGCGAGCCUGUGAGGGUGAGCGAAUCUCGGAAAGCCGGUCUCAGUUCGGAUUGGGGUCUGCAACUCGACCUCAUGAAGUCGGAGUCGCUAGUAAUCGCAGAUCAGCAACGCUGCGGUGAAUACGUUCCCGGGGCU